Non-coding RNA from Bufo gargarizans (Asiatic toad), 83 nucleotides. The record is from the annotation of a RefSeq genome assembly. NCBI's taxonomy places the organism in Eukaryota, Metazoa, Chordata, Amphibia, Anura, Bufonidae.
GCUGUGAUGGCCGAGUGGUUAAGGUGUUGGACUUGAAAUCCAAUGGGGUUUUCCCACACAGGUUCAAAUAUCUGUUUGCAGCG